GAAGCCUGCGGUUCAAUUGGAGUCAACGCCAGGAAACUUACCAGGAGAGACAGCAGGUUGAGGGUCAGUCUGAAGAACUUACCCGACGAGCUGAGAGGAGGUGCAUGGCCGUCGCCAGCUCGUGCCGUGAGGCGUCCUGUUAAGUCAGGCAACGAGCGAGACCCCUAUCGGUAAUUGCUAACUGCUCAGAGAUGGGCAGAGGCUAGUUACAGAGACUGCCGUUGAUAAAACGGAGGAAGGAAGGGGCCACGGCAGGUCAGUAUGCCCCGAAACUCCUGGGCCACACGCGGGCUGCAGUGGUAGGGACAAUAGGUUCCGACCUCGAAAGAGGAAGGCAAUCCCCAAACCCUACCCCAGUUGUGAUCGAGGAUUGAAACCCGUCCUCGUGAAUAUGGAAUCCCUAGUAACCGCGUGUCAUCACCGCGCGGUGAAUACGUCCCUGCUCCUUGU
RNAcentral lists this ribosomal RNA (450 nucleotides) under uncultured archaeon. RNAcentral's name for it is "bacterial SSU rRNA". It matches the Rfam family "Archaeal small subunit ribosomal RNA", at positions 890 to 1339 of the family's 1478-position model. The record is from RNAcentral.